Molecule: long non-coding RNA, 601 nt
Organism: Artibeus jamaicensis (Jamaican fruit-eating bat)
Lineage: Eukaryota; Metazoa; Chordata; Mammalia; Chiroptera; Phyllostomidae
Exons: 3
Source: RefSeq, a predicted model, not a curated record
CAGACUUCCUGCUCAGGGCUAGGUCGGGUGACACUAGGCUGACUGGAAGCAGGGGACAGGACAGGGAUCAGAGGUCCUGGCAGGGCCCAGGGCAGGACAAUGGCAAGUACGGGCAGCAGCCUCAGCACCAGGAGCCUUGAUGAGGAAGCCAAAGAACAAGGAAGGACCAAGAUGCCAAAGACCAGUGCAGACUGACAUUUCGUUUGUACUUUGAUUUUCUCCUCUGGUCCAGGUAAUCAGUCUCCAGCUGUGGCCAGAGCUGAGCUCUGCUUUCCUAGGAGGAAGUGACUUCCCAGCUUUCUGCUCUCUGUUCCCUGGACCUCAUCAAAAUGGUCAUGGCCAGCUCCAAAUGGUGAGCCCUUGGGGAGGUAAUUCUACUCUGCCUUUCAGGGACAUUUGACAUGGUUUCUUCAGCUUUUUGGUCUGAAAAACUUUACUGUGUAUCCUGAGGGGGAAUCUGACUGUGUGUUGGGACCCUCACUCUACCCCUGCCUGACCCUUACAAGUUUUCCUUCCUUCUUGCUCCCAGCAGAACUCCUUGUCCUUGACCAAGCCUAGGUUCUCAUUCUCUGCUUGGGAACUAGUUUUUUUUUCAUAUUUU